RNAcentral lists this ribosomal RNA (451 nucleotides) under uncultured bacterium. RNAcentral's name for it is "partial 16S ribosomal RNA". It matches the Rfam family "Bacterial small subunit ribosomal RNA", at positions 330 to 793 of the family's 1533-position model. The record is from RNAcentral.
CCCAGACUCCUACGGGAGGCAGCAGUGGGGAAUAUUGGGCAAUGGGCGCAAGCCUGACCCAGCAACGCCGCGUGAAGGAAGAGGGCUUUCGGGUUGUAAACUUCUUUUCUCAGGGACGAAGAAAGUGACGGUACCUGAGGAAUAAGCCACGGCUAACUACGUGCCAGCAGCCGCGGUAAUACGUAGGUGGCAAGCGUUAUCCGGAUUCAUUGGGUUUAAAGGGUGCGUAGGUUGUUUUAUAAGUUAGCGGUGAAAUACCGAUGCUCAACAUCGGGGCUGCCGCUAAUACUGUAGGACUAGAGAUCGGAUGCAGCAGGCGGAAUGUGUAGUGUAGCGGUGAAAUGCAUAGAUAUUACACAGAACACCGAUUGCGAAGGCAGCUUGCUAGGCCGGAUCUGACACUGAUGCACGAAGGCGUGGGGAUCGAACAGGAUUAGAUACCCUCGUAUUG